AAAAUAUGCGCCAAAAUAAAAUAUUUAUGAAAACUAUAAUGCAAUGGGGCCCAAAUUAAUAUAUAUACACACUUAGCUCAAUGAACAUAAAUAAUUUAAAAUGGUCAUGUGGCGAUAACUCCUAAAUCAAUAGGCUCUUCAAAGCUCCCCAUACUAGAUUGCUUCCUGGUAAGAAAAACGCGAAAAAAUAUAUGAGUUGAUAAUUCAGUGAAUGGAGAAGUUUGAAAAUAAUUAUACCUUUUUAUUUAAACAUUUUUCUCAUACAUAGACAUUAAGUUCAUAUCGUUUAGUAAUUCACAUGAUAGCCUCAUAAAAUUUAUAGCCAAAAGAAUGAGACAUUCUCAUAACUCUAUAAAUAUCAUCUCAUAUCCACGAUAUAGUCAUCAGCUAAUAUCUAUACCAUCAUCUCAUCUCAUCACAUCACAUCACAUGUGAUCCACCAAAAAUGUACCCUCUAACUAAAAUCUGUAAUCCGCCCCUCGGGCUAAGCACUUUCGUCACGGGCUUUGGCCCUCAACGUGCCGAAUUGCUCCACAUAUAGUUCCUCGAACCACAUUUUCUAAACGAACUAGAGCCAACCCGAAUUGAUCUUGCCUUGGUGGUGAAAUGAUAGACACGCGAGACUCAAAAUCUCGUGCUAAAGAGCGUUGAGGUUCGAGUCCCACCACGGCUCCUCUCUUCUCAAGAACCCAUACAUCCCUUAUCAGGAAUUGAACCUACGAAUUCGCCAAUUAUGAGUUGGCCACUUUAACCAUUCAGCCAUGGAUGCUUCGUAGCAAAAGCACGAAAAAUUGAGCGUUUCUUAUCACAACCUUUUUUUGUAGCAAAAGUAUUUACCGGUUCUUCAGGGAAAUAUGUUGGGGAUCCUAUCAACUUGUUCCGACCUACGAUAAUAAACCAAUUGCCAUUUAGCUAAUAAGCCCAUGGAUAUUGAGGUUCCACAAGCGGUACUUCCUGAUACUGUAUUUGAAGCAAUUGUUCGAUCAUCCUCGAUCGACCCCUCAGUGUAGUAUAGAACAUGACCAAUGCCCCUCUGUGAGCUAAAAGAAGUAUAUAAUCACGGGUACUUUUCUGAUCGAUCUCAAUAUCACAUAUGUCUCACAUUCCAACUCACAAAUAAUUCAUAUCCAAACUUUAAAUUCCGCAUAUACCAUAGUGAAAGAAUCUUUCCAUAUUAAUUAUGUAAUUAAACAAAUAAUUCGCAUAAUCACACGUAAUGUAAUAGUAUAAGUACCUUAUUACUAUUUGAAAAUAUAUAAGUUUUUCCAUUCACAGAUAUAUGGAUAAACAUCUGGUUAAAGUGAAAAGACUUCCCAAGCUCUCACGUCACUACCUGAAAUAAUGAUAAAAUUACUCAAAUUAAAACACGACAAUUAAAUUAAUGUAAAUCUACCGUGCAAUUCUUCAACUCCUAUAUUUAUUCUUGUAUCUCUAUUUCCCUAACUUAUUUUCUUUUUGAUUAUUGGCAACCAAUCAACUCCAUUAAAGUAGUUGAUACUUUCUUAAAAUCACUCUCUUAUACACAUACAACCCCUAUACAUGAUUUAAUCCAAUACCUAAACUCCAAAAUUUAUCAUUUAGUUUCAUUCGAACUUAUAAAAUCAGAGAAAACAAAGGUUUGACAAAAACAGCACUAAAAUCCCAAAGUAUUGAAAUCUGGUACCAAGUUCUGCACAUUGAAAUCUGGCAUCAAAACCAUUGACAGAAAUAGCACUUUUCUGGCAGAAUUUCAAAAAAUAGCACCCCUGCAUUAAUUUUUGCCCGAAAAUUAAUUUAAAAUAUCAAAAUUCAACCUCAACUCCAUAUCUCAUUGUAAUACAUCAUAAAUCAUGUGUUUUAUAUCAUAUACAAAAAACCAAUAUAAAUAUUUAGGCUCUAAUUCACAAACCCAUUUCAUAUAUAUUUUAUUUCCCCCCUUCAACACAAAUCUUCCAAAUAUACACUUCCAAAAUCUCGAAUUUGAGAAAUUUCCAUCAAUUCUAAAAUCAAAUAUCAUCCUUCAAUAAACAAAACUUAUACUUACCCUGAAAAAUUGAGAUGAAAUUGAAGACCAAGCCCUCUUCCCCUUUUUCUUUUUUUCCUUUUCUUUCUUCUUUUCUUUCCCUUUCUUCACGAUUCUUCUCGAUUUUUUUUCCUCUGCUUAGCCCGUUUCCAGCUCUCUCUCUC
Molecule: long non-coding RNA, 2166 nt
Filed under: Olea europaea (common olive)
Lineage: Eukaryota; Viridiplantae; Streptophyta; Magnoliopsida; Lamiales; Oleaceae
Description: long non-coding RNA (OEUR_LNC007422)
Rfam family: tRNA (bases 593-672)
Source: RNAcentral